GGCUGUAGCUCAGUGGCAGAGUGCUUGCCUAGCAUGCAUGAGGCAGCGAGUUCGAUACUCAGCACCA
Molecule: transfer RNA, 67 nt
Filed under: Marmota monax (woodchuck)
Lineage: Eukaryota; Metazoa; Chordata; Mammalia; Rodentia; Sciuridae
Description: tRNA.Ala
Source: RNAcentral